Molecule: ribosomal RNA, 441 nt
Filed under: Drosophila comatifemora
Lineage: Eukaryota; Metazoa; Arthropoda; Insecta; Diptera; Drosophilidae
Description: partial 12S ribosomal RNA
Source: RNAcentral
UAUUAUUUAAAAUGUAAUUGUAAAUACUUAAGUAGUAAUAGUUAUGUUCUUGAAACUUAAAAAAUUUGGCGGUAUUUUAGUCUAUCCAGAGGAACCUGUUUUGUAAUCGAUAAUCCACGAUGGACCUUACUUAAGUUUGUAAUCAGUUUAUAUACCGUCGUUAUCAGAAUAUUUUAUAAGAAUAAUAAUAUUCAAUAAUUUUGAUUAAAAUUUAUAUCAGAUCAAGGUGUAGCUUAUAUUUUAGUAAUAAUGGGUUACAAUAAAUGUAUUUAUACGGAUAAAAUUAUGAAAAAAUUUUUGAAGGUGGAUUUGGUAGUAAAAUUAUAAAGAUUAAUAAUUUGAUUUUAGCUCUAAAAUAUGUACACAUCGCCCGUCGCUCUUAUUAUUAAGGUAAGAUAAGUCGUAACAUAGUAGAUGUACUGGAAAGUGUAUCUAGAAUGA